CCUUUCCCGGAGUGCUGCGGCCAGGGCUCGCCCGCUCCUCCGGCGGCCUCCGCUGGGGGCCCACUACAGCCCAGCGCCAGCCAGCCAGCCAGCCCAGCUUCUCGAAUCGGUCCUAAGCUGAGGCCGCCCUGCGCUGCAAAACUUGUGUCCACUCUCGGACCCAAUCUGUCCUGGACGGACUUGGCUCGUGGCAGGCGAAAGCGUCGUUUCCAACUGCAGCUGUUUGAAUUCUGGCGCCACACCCGCGCCACGUAGGGCCAAGUCGGCCGCCAGACUCGUGCGAGAGGGCGGGACGGCCUCGUUCUGACUCCGGGAGGCUAUAUAAGGAGCUACUGGCUGCGCACUUCGGUCUUUUACGUCGGCCUUCGCGAGCGUCUGGGCGGGUGGUAGGUGAGUGGGUAUUGCGGGCUAGUAUCCGAGCAAAAGAUGGUGGCGCAGGCCGAGUUAAGAGCUUUAAUCCUGUGAAGACAUCUUAGUGAAGAGUUUAGAGUGCUGAGAGUUGAAAGCUUGCACGUGGGAAACGUGCGGCCGGACUGCCACAUGUACUGAGGUUGAGUCGUGACGGCCACAGGCUCCGAGUUUUGGCGUGAGGAACCGCUGAUCGGCCACGGGCGCCGAACUUGCUGGCCUCCGGCAUGUGCCUGAGCGGCGGCGGAAAAACCACCUUAAUUGGGGCGGAGGGUUAGUUUUAACAGCAAAGGGCCUUUACUAAAAUGGCGAAGGCCUUCCGUCGGCGUUGUUUUAAAAUGGGAAGCCUCGACCCUGUAUUGAAACUGAGCUGUUCGAAGGCGGCGUUGUGUGCAAUUCGGAUUAAUGAAGGGGAAGGGUUUUGUGUGGAAAAACGCCUUGGAGUGUGACAUUUCUGCGAGAAUGCUUAAAUACCGAUUUCCCGCAGGAACAAUGGCGCUGUCUUCAGUGGCACAGUGGAGCAGCUCUGAAGAUGCAAAGAUACACGAAAAAACUUCCAGAACAUCUGGGAGAAUAUUUAAUGGAAAAUCGCUUGGUUAAAACCUGACACUUUUAACAGUGAACAGCGUUCUGAGUGUGGACGAGUAGCCAGUGAAGAUAAUGAAUGUCGAAUGUGACUGACUAGCAGCUUCAUUUUGAAUGAGGGUCGCUGUCUGCCCAUUGAUAGAGGCCAGAUUGUCUUGGAAGUUCCAAAGUUGCAACGAUUUCUGGCUAGUGCCACGAGGUUUACUUGACUGUUGUGUGAAAAGCUGAUAAGAAAACCAUCCAGAAAAAAGCUCUUCGUUUUACAAACAUGAAAAUAAAACAUUUAGUUGAAUCCAUGGACAUGAAACCCACAGAUAUAGAGGGUUGGCCCGGUGCAGUGGCUCACGCCUGUAAUCCCAGCACUUUGGGAGGCCAAGGCGGGUGGAUCACCUGAGGUCAGAAGCUUGAGACCAGCCUGGCCAACAUGGGUACUGCUUUCUCUUGCUGCAGCUUGCUUCCUCCCUCAGGUAUGAAGUUAAGGUUAGUAUCUUCCUUGCUCCGUACUGCCACUUUUUUUUUUUUUUUUUUGAGACAGAGUCUCACUCUGUCACCCAGGCUGGAGGGCAGUGUCACAAUCUCGGCUCACUGCAACGUCCGGCUCCCAGGUUCAAGCGAUUCUUAUGCCUCAGCCUCCCUAGUAGCUGGGAUUACAGAUGCAUGUCACCACACCCAGCCAAUGUAUGUAUUUUUAUUUAUUUUUUAUUUUAUUUUAUUUUUUUGAGAUGGAGUCUUGCCCUGUUGCCCAGGCUGGAGUGCAGUGGAACGCUCUCGGCUCACUGCAGCCUCCACCUCCCAGGUUCAAGCGAUUCUCUGCCUUAGCAUCCCAAGUAGCUGGGAUUACAGGCGUGUGCCACCACGCCCAGCUAAUUUUUGUAUUUUUAGUAGAAAUGGGGUUUCACCAUGUUGGCUAGGCUGGUCUUGAACUCCUGACCUCAAGCGAUCCACCUGCCUCUGCCUCCCAAAGUGCUGCAAUUACAGGCGUGAGACACCAUGCCCAGCCUAAUUUAUAUACUUUUAGUAGAGACAAGGUUUCACCAUGUUGGCCAGGCUAGUGUUGAACUCCUGGCCUCAAGUGAUCUGCCCGCCUCAGCCUCCCAAAGUGCUGGGAUUACAGGCGUGAGCCACCGUGUCCGGCCUCCCUACUGCCACUUCUUAACAAUUACUCCUCCAUCUUUAUGUAAAACCCCCUGAUCUUUUCAUGUUCAUGGCCACUUGGCCUGUCACCUUUUGUCUUACUUCGAGGCUAUCAUUUUCUUACUUUGUGGUUACUGCCCCUUAUUAAUUUUGAAGAGUUUGGGACCAGGUUCAUGGCUCUAUUCUGUAAUAUCUAUUUCUAAUAUUUACAUGUCAAUGUCCAUACAAUUUGGUUUAUCAGUUCUUUGACUUCCUCCACUUUCUCCCUCCACUUCAGUCCUUUUUACCUGGGAUUCCACUGUCCCAUAGAGAACCAUGGAUAAAAUUCAAGAAGUCUAUGAACUUGGACAGGGGAAAAUAUGUAUACUUUUACUAAACACUAACUGAAAUUUAGCAUUUCUUUCAAUAACAAAUGUAAACUGUACACCACAAUAGUACUAGCAAUAUCUAUGGGUUUGUCACCAAUAGAAAGCACAGCUAUUUUUUUUUCCAAAGAGUCAUCUGCAUCCCCAUGUUUAUUGCAGCACUAUUCACAAUAGCUAAGAUAUGAAAUCAUCCUAGGUGUCCAACAACAGAUAAAUGGGUAAAUAAAAUUUAGGCUGGACACAGUGACUCACACUUGCAAUCCCAGCACUUUGGGAAGCUGAAGCAGGAGAAUUGCUUGAGCCAAGGAGUUCAAAACCAGCCUGGGCAACAUAGAAAGAUUCCAUCUCUAUGAAAAAUUUAAAAAAUUAGCUAAGUACAGUAGUGUGUGCCUGUAGUCCCAGUUCCUUGGGAGGCUGAGGUGGGAGGAUCACUUGAGCCCAGGAGAUUGAGGCUGCAAUGAGCCAUGCAGUGAGCCAUGAUAGCACCACUGCACUCCAACCUGAGCAACAGAGCAAGACCCUGUCUCAAAAAGAAAAAAAAUGGAAAAUGUGGUGUGUAUAUAUACACAAUGGGCUACUAUUCAGUCAUAAAAAAGAUGACAUCAUGUCAUUUGCAGUAACAUGAAUGGAACUGGAAGACACUAUGUUAAGUGAAAUAAGCCAGGAACAGAAAGUUAAACACCACAUGUUCUCACUCAUGUGGAAACUAAAAAAAGUUGAUCUUGCCAGGCAUGGUGGCUCACGCCUGUAAUCCCAGCACUUUGGGAGGCCGAGGUGGGUAGAACACCUGAGGUCAGGAGUUCGAGACCAGCCUGGCCAACAUGGUGAAACCCUGUCUCUACUAAAAACACGAAAAUUAGCUGGAUGUGGUGGUGGGUGCCUGUAAUCCCAGCUACUCAAGAGGCUGAGGCAGGAGAAUUGCUUGAACCCAGGAGGCGGAGGUUGCAGUGAGCCAAGAUUGCGCCAUUGUACUCCAGCCAGGGGGACAAGAGUGAGACUUUGUCUCAAAAAAAAAAAAAAAAAAAGUUGAUCUCAUAGAAGUAAAAUGUAGAACGAAGGAUACUAGAGAUUAGCAGGGGUAUGGGAGAUGGGAAGGUAGGGAGAGAUUUGUUAAAGGAUUUAAAAUUAAGGCCAGGUGUGGUGGCUUAUGCCUAUAAUCCCAGCACUUUGGGAGGCCGAGGUGGGCGGAUCACCUGAGGUCAGGAGUUCAAGACCAGACUGACCAACAUGGAGAAACCCCGUCUCUCCUAAAAAUACAAAAAACUAACUGGGCAUGGUGGUGCAUGCCUGUAAUUCCAGCUACUCGGGAGGCUGAGGCAGGAGAAUCGCUUGAACCCGGGAGGCGGAGGUUGCCAUGAGCCGAGAUUGCGCCACUACACUCCAGCCUGGGCAACAAAAGCGAAACUCCAUCUCAAAAAAAAAAAAAAGGCAUAUAAAAUUAUAGCUGGGUAGGAGGAAUAAGUUCUAGUGUUCUACACCACUGUGGGAUGACUAUAGUUAACAAUAAUACAUACUUUCAGGUAACAUGAAGGAGGAUAUUGAAUGUUCCUAACACAAAGAAAUGAUAAAUGUUUGAGAUGGUGGAUGUACUAAUUGCCCUGAUCUGAUGACUAUACAUUAUAUAUAUUGAAACAUCAGUAUGUACCCCAUGAAUAUGUACAAUUAUAUGUCAACUUAAACACAUUUAAAAGUAAAAAAAAAAAAAUCCAAAACACGCAAGGAACUGAGCCAGCACGAAUAAGAAUUAGCAAAAUCUUCAAACCUCAAGACCAGACUCACAAGGACUUCAGAUACAGAAAUUUUAAAUAAAAAUUAUAAAAUGAGUAUGUUAAAAUGUUUAAAGAAAUAAAGGAAGGCAUUGGUAUAUGAUACAGAAAUAAAAGACCAUCAAAAAUAAUUUGGAUGACAUGAAAACAAUCAAAUAGACAUUCUGGAAAUAAAACAUAUAUAAUGGACAGGAGUGAAUGUCCCUAGGCUCCUGACCUCUCUGCAUUUGCAAGUAGUCUGAGCCAGAAAACGCUGAAAGACCUCAGAAGCCAAGUGGAAGCCCCACAGUGAAGCCAGGAGGGCCUUCAUUUCAGACUCAGCAGCUGCCCACGGUGGUGGCUGACACACUGCUGUAGCAUGUGUGCUGCCUGAACACUCACUGGCCACCCCCACAGCCCAGAGCACUGGCAUCAUCUGUACUAUCGGCCUAGUUUCCUGAUUGGUGGAAAUGUUGAUGAUUAAGUCUGGAAUUAAUAUGGCUUGUCUGAACUUACGAGUACCACGCAGAGACCAUCAGGAAUGUGUGCACAACUAUGGAAAGCCUUGCUUCUGACCCCAAUCUCUAGCGGCUAGUUGCUGUGGCUCUGGACACUAACGGGCCUGAGAUCUGAACUGGGCUCACACAGAGCAGUGUCCCCAUGGAGGUGGAGCUGAAGAAGGGAGCCACCUUCAGAUCACACUGGAUAAUGCCUACAUGGAAAACUUAUGAUGAGAACUUCCUGUAGCUGGACUACAAGAACAUUUGUAAGGUAGUGGAAAGGGGCAGCAAGAUCUAUAGAUUUAAUAACUUAUUUCUCUGCAGUUGGAGCAGAAAGGUACUGACCUCCUGGUGAUAGCAAUGGAAAAUUAUGGCUCCUUGGGCAGCAAAAAGGGUGUAGACCUUCCUGGUGACUGUGGACCUGCUUGCCAUGUCAGAAAAGGACAUCCAGGAUCUGAAGUUUGGGGUAGAAUGGGAUGUGGAUAUGGUGUUUGCCUCUUUCAUCCAUGUGGCAUCUAAUGUCCAUGAAAUUAGAAAGGCAAUUAUUGCAAACUGGAGCAAGGUGCCCACUUGCCCACCAGAGUUAGGCUCUUACCUUCCCAGAGGAACUGAGACCCACAGCUAUUUUUAUAUAUCUUACAGUUCAGAUCAGAUACAAAUAUGUAAACCUCUACAUUAUUUCUAUGUAGAAAUUAUGAUACUCUUUAAGCCUGUCACAGAUUUUGUUAUUUAAUGCAAAGAAGCACAUAUAUUACUAUGGGACACUUUUGGUUUGUUUAAAUAUUUUGAUAGUUGUAUUUUAAUGUAAAGGGUUUCAUUUGUAAUCUUAUACAGAUGGUCCCCAACUUACAAUGGUUCAACUUAUGAUUUUUCAUCUUUACAACGGCAUGAAAGCAAUACAUUUUCAGUAGAAACUGUAGGUCAAAUACUCAUACAACCAUUCUGUUUUUCACUUUACUGCAGUAUUUAAUAAACAUAUGAGAUAUUCAAGAUUUUAACUUUGCGUUAGAUGAUUCUGUCUAAUUAUAAGAUAAAGUAAGUGUUCUGAGCACAUUUAAGGUAGACUAAGAAAACUAUGAUGUUCAGUAGGUUAGUUAUAUUAAAUGCAUUUUCAACUUACAGUAUUUUCAAUGGGGUUUAUUGGAACGUAACCUCAUUGUAAAUUGAAGAGCAUCUUUUAUGCAUUUUUAAAUAUGUUUUGAGAAGGGGUCAAUAGGCUUCACCAGACUGGCAAAGUGUCUAUGGCAUGAAAAGUUAAGGACCUCUGCAUUUCAUAUCAAAUCCUACUUGUUUUUAACUUCCC
Molecule: long non-coding RNA, 6040 nt
Filed under: Homo sapiens (human)
Lineage: Eukaryota; Metazoa; Chordata; Mammalia; Primates; Hominidae
Description: non-protein coding SNHG5:30
Source: RNAcentral